UACGAAGGGGGCGAGCGUUGUUCGGAUUUACUGGGCGUAAAGCGUGCGCAGGCGGUUCGCCAAGUCAGGUGUGAAAUCCCCGGGCUUAACCUGGGAAUUGCGCUUGAAACUAGCGGGCUUGAGUGUGGCAGAGGGGGGUGGAAUUCCACGUGUAGCAGUGAAAUGCGUAGAGAUGUGGAGGAACACCGAUGGCGAAGGCAGCCCCCUGGGUCAACACUGACGCUCAUGCACGAAAGCGUGGGGAGCAAACAGG
Molecule: ribosomal RNA, 253 nt
Filed under: uncultured bacterium
Lineage: Bacteria
Description: partial 16S ribosomal RNA
Rfam family: Bacterial small subunit ribosomal RNA
Source: RNAcentral